RNAcentral lists this ribosomal RNA (447 nucleotides) under uncultured bacterium. Its description in RNAcentral is "bacterial SSU rRNA". It matches the Rfam family "Bacterial small subunit ribosomal RNA", at positions 328 to 792 of the family's 1533-position model. The record is from RNAcentral.
UUGCCAGACUCCUACGGGAGGCAGCAGUGGGGGAUAUUGCACAAUGGGCGCAAGCCUGAUGCAGCGACGCCGCGUGAGCGAAGAAGUAUUUCGGUAUGUAAAGCUCUAUCAGCAGGGAAGAAAAUGACGGUACCUGACUAAGAAGCUCCGGCUAAAUACGUGCCAGCGGCCGCGGUAAUACGUAGGGGGCAAGCGUUAUCCGGAUUUACUGGGUGUAAAGGGAGCGUAGACGGCCGUGCAAGCCAGAUGUGAAAGCCCGGGGCUCAACCCCGGGACUGCAUUUGGAACUGCGUGGCUUGAGUGUCGGAGAGGCAGGCGGAAUUCCUAGUGUAGCGGUGAAAUGCGUAGAUAUUAGGAGGAACACCAGUGGCGAAGGCGGCCUGCUGGACGAUGACUGACGUUGAGGCUCGAAAGCGUGGGGAGCAAACAGGAUUAGAUACCCUUGUA